Labrus bergylta (ballan wrasse) is the source of this 1254-nucleotide non-coding RNA. NCBI's taxonomy places the organism in Eukaryota, Metazoa, Chordata, Actinopteri, Labriformes, Labridae. The record is from RefSeq and is a predicted model, not a curated record.
UCCCCACACUCAGUGAGUGACCAGUGUGAUUUCCCUCACAGGUCGAUUUGUUUUCUGCACAGUGGCUGAACUUUUGUUUUGCCAUUGACACUUCCAUGGAAAGAUUAAGCAUUUUUCGCAGGUAGCUGAGGCUCUCUCUCAGCUCCUGCCGUCCUGCAGGAGGAGACAGAGACAAGGAGAGGUCGUCCACCACAGGUGAGGAGGAGGAGUCAAGGCAGUCUAGCCAGUCAGCAGCAGAGGAUCGUGGGUAACCGUCCUGCAGCAAGGAGCCGGGAAACGAGAACUUCCAGUACAGGUCUCCUUUGAAGAGCAUGUCAGACAAACACAGGUCCUGUCCUCACCAUCGCUCUCCGUGGUGAUGCCGCUCACACCCUCCCUCAGCAGCUGAGUCCAGGUGUCUUCCUGCUGAUCUUCCUCAGCGGCUCCCAUGUUCCCCCACAGAGGACCCUCCAGUGGAUCCCACACCAGACCCCACCUCACUGCUGCUGCCUCGUCCACCUCACCAUCAUCAGCAUCGGCUCCAGCUAAGCUCAGCCCCAUCCUCAGGGAGGACAGAGGCUGAGGGUAGCCAUCCUGCAGGGACAGAUCCCUGAACAGCCAGAACUGUGAACCUGCAGCAAGAAAACACCUGGAGAUGAUGGCGUGAUCGGAUUGCCUCUCGAGCACAGCGUGAAGACGAGGCAGGUCAGCGGGAAGGCCCCUCCACAGCCGUCUGACCGAGGCCCCCCGACCCGACACCAAGCCCCCACCAUUAACCCGCCACAUCGUCAGACCUGGAGGGAUGAAAGACAGAACGGAGGAGCGAAAGAAUGGGUUGAAAACCUUUGAAGAAAAAGGUCUCUCCUCUGAUCCUCGCCACCGAAUCAAAACUGGUGUUGCAGCGAUCGAUGACUGAGCUGCAGACAGAAAACACACUUCAUGUUAGGAUGAAAUCAACACUUAACUUUGAAACUGUAAGUGAAAGCUGACCUAUUCUGUUGAUCCCCGUUUUUAAACUCACAAAGUGUUUACAAUGCUGGAAGGCCAGACUUAACGUGGGCAACGUUUCAGAUCAUGAGGUAAACGUAUGUUGGAGUAAUCCCAAGGUAAGUCUGCAGAAGGCGAUUUAUUAUUUUAUUUUCAUCAUGGAACAUUUUUCAGGUUUAUUACAUUUGAGUUAUUUUUUUAACUCUUUUAAAAAAAGGUUUAAAAUAAAGAAUCAGGCUAUUUCUUUUAAUUGAUUGUUGUAGUAGUACUCAUUUUGGCCACUAGAGG